This 482-nucleotide ribosomal RNA is filed under the name uncultured bacterium. RNAcentral describes it as "bacterial SSU rRNA". It matches the Rfam family "Bacterial small subunit ribosomal RNA", at positions 8 to 507 of the family's 1533-position model. The record is from RNAcentral.
AGAGUUUGAUCAUGGCUCAGGACGAACGCUGGCGGCGUGCUUAACACAUGCGAGUCGAACGGUAAGGCCCUUCGGGGUACACGAGUGGCGAACGGGUGAGUAACACGUGGGUGAUCUGCCCUGCACUUCGGGAUAAGCCUGGGAAACUGGGUCUAAUACCGGAUAGGACUCCUGGCUUCAUGGUUGGGGGUGUAAAGCUUUUGCGGUGUGGGAUGGGCCCGCGGCCUAUCAGCUUGUUGGUGGGGUAAUGGCCUACCAAGGCGACGACGGGUAGCCGGCCUGAGAGGGUGACCGGCCACACUGGGACUGAGAUACGGCCCAGACUCCUACGGGAGGCAGCAGUGGGGAAUAUUGCACAAUGGGCGCAAGCCUGAUGCAGCGACGCCGCGUGAGGGAUGACGGCCUUCGGGUUGUAAACCUCUUUCAAUAGGGACGAAGCGCAAGUGACGGUACCUAUAGAAGAAGGACCGGCCAACUACGUG